RNAcentral lists this ribosomal RNA (459 nucleotides) under uncultured bacterium. RNAcentral describes it as "partial 16S ribosomal RNA". It matches the Rfam family "Bacterial small subunit ribosomal RNA", at positions 338 to 795 of the family's 1533-position model. The record is from RNAcentral.
CCUACGGGUGGCAGCAGUGAGGAAUAUUGGUCAAUGGCCGAGAGGCUGAACCAGCCAAGUCGCGUGAGGGAAGACGGCCCUACGGGUUGUAAACCUCUUUUGUCGGGGAGCAAAGCGAACCACGUGUGGUUCAUUGAGAGUACCCGAAGAAAAAGCAUCGGCUAACUCCGUGCCAGCAGCCGCGGUAAUACGGAGGAUGCGAGCGUUAUCCGGAUUUAUUGGGUUUAAAGGGUGCGUAGGCGGACGCUUAAGUCAGCGGUAAAAUUGCGGGGCUCAACCUCGUCGAGCCGUUGAAACUGGGUGCCGUGAGUGGGCGAGAAGUACGCGGAAUGCGUGGUGUAGCGGUGAAAUGCAUAGAUAUCACGCAGAACGCCGAUUGCGAAGGCAGCGUACCGGCGCCCAACUGACGCUGAAGCACGAAGGCGUGGGUAUCGAACAGGAGUAGAUACCCCUGUAGUC